This 253-nucleotide ribosomal RNA is filed under the name uncultured bacterium. Its description in RNAcentral is "partial 16S ribosomal RNA". It matches the Rfam family "Bacterial small subunit ribosomal RNA", at positions 524 to 776 of the family's 1533-position model. The record is from RNAcentral.
UACGAAGGGGGCUAGCGUUGUUCGGAAUCAUUGGGCGUAAAGAGCGCGUAGGCGGCCGAGUAAGUCCGACGUGAAAUCUGGAGGCUCAACCUCCAGCGGUCGUUGGAAACUACUCGGCUAGAGUCCGGAAGAGGAGAGUGGAAUUCCUGGUGUAGCGGUGAAAUGCGCAGAUAUCAGGAAGAACACCGAUGGCGAAAGCAGCUCUCUGGGACGGUACUGACGCUGAGGCGCGAAAGCGUGGGGAGCGAACAGG